This 16108-nucleotide long non-coding RNA is filed under the name Lathyrus oleraceus (garden pea). RNAcentral describes it as "Pisum sativum (pea) long non-coding RNA (PSAT_LNC039457)". The record is from RNAcentral. Lineage: Eukaryota; Viridiplantae; Streptophyta; Magnoliopsida; Fabales; Fabaceae.
UUUGCUAAAUUCUAUAUAUUGUUAUCAAGAAAUGAGAAGAUUGAUAGGGUUAUUAGUAUUCAUGUUUUGCUAAAUUUUGUAUAUUGUUAUCAAGAAAUGAGAAGAUUGAUAGGGUUAUUAUUGUUCUCGUUUUGCUAAAUUUUGUAUAUUCUUAUCAAGAAAUAAGAAGAUUGAUAGUGUUGUUAGUGUUCUUGUUUUGCUAAAUUUUGUAUAUUGUUAUCAAGAAAUGAGAAGCUUGAUAGUGUUAUUAGUCGUCUUGUUUUUCUAAAUUUUGUAUAUUAUUAUCAAGAAAUGAGAAGGUUGAUAGUGUUAUUAGUGUUCUUGUUUUGCUAAAUAUUGUAUAUUGUUAUCAAGAAAUGAGAAGAUUGAUAGUCUUAUUAGUGUUCUUGUUUUGCUAAAUUAUGUAUACUGUUAUCAAGAAAUGAGAAGAUUGAUAUUGUUAUUAGUGUUCUUGUUUUGCUAAAUUUUGUAUAUUGUUAUCAAGAAAUGAGAAGAUUGAUAGUGUUAUUAGUGUUCUUGUUUUGCUAAAUUUUGUAUAUUGUUAUCAAGAAAUGAGAAGAUUGAUAGUGUUAUUUGUGUUCUUGUUUUGCUAAAUUUUGUAUAUUGUUAUCAAGAAAUGAGAAGAUUAAUAGUGUUAUUAGUGUUCUUGUUUUGCUAAAUUUUAUAUAUUGUUAUCAAGAAAUAGGAAGGUUGAUAGUGUUAAUAGUUUUCUUGUUUUGCUUAAUUUUGUAUAUUGUUGUCAAGAAAUGAGAAGAUGAUAGUGUUAUUAGUGUUCUUGUUAUCAAGAAACGUUUGAAGCUGACCCUUUAGCAAAAUCUCUCAAAAAUGAAAGGCAUUGCCAUGGGGAAUUCUCGAUGGCUUCUAUUCAGUCAAAUAAGGAUAUGGAAGAUCACAACCAAGUCGAUGUAAGUCAUGACGUGAGUUAUUUCUUUGCUUCUUUUUUCUUAGCAUACUACUCUGUAUAUUAUUAUCAAGAAAUGAGAAGAUUGAUAGUGUUAUUAGUGUUCUUGUUUUGCUAAAUUUUGUAUAUUGUUAUCAAGAAAUGAGAAGAUUGAUAUUGUUAUUAGUGUUCUUGUUUUGCUAUAUUUUGUAUAUUGUUAUAAAGAAAUGAGAAGAUUGAUAGUGUUAUUAGUGUUCUUGUUUUGCUAAAUUUUGUAUAUUGUUAUCAAGAAAUGAGAAGAUUGGUAGUGUUAUUAGUGUUCUUGUUUUGCUAAAUUNNNNNNNNNNNNNNNNNNNUGCAAGAGGAAAUUUCUUUCUCUUGAAAAAUGCAAGGCUUGCCAUGUACUGUGCGAAUCCCAUAGAGCUUCCUCCUAGUUUUCAGUCCAGAAACUCUUAAGUUGGGAUAUGGAAGAUCACAACCAAGUCGAUGUAACUCAUACGCACUGUCGUUGAUUAUGAUGGAUUCAAAGGCCACACCACUGCUUUCUAAUCCGUACGUCAACAUCUUUGAGGACGUCUAUUACGUGAGUUAUUCUUUGCUUCCCCUUUUUCUUAGCAUACUUAUCUAUAUAUUUUUUAUCAAAGGAUAAUAGUAAGAUUGAUAGUGUUAUAGUGUCGAUUGUUUUGCCUAAUUGUUGCGUAUAUGUAUCCAUACUCCAAAGAGAAGAUUGUAAUAUUAGUUAGUGUUCGUGUCUUUUGCUAAAAUUUUAUUUAUCAAGAAACGAGAGAGGAUUGAUAGUGCUGAUUUUAGUAGUUUCUUGUUUACGUAAAAUUGUAGACUUAUUUCAAGAAAUGAGAAAGAUUGAUAAAUGUUAUUAGUUUUGCUUGUUUUGCUUAAAUUUGCUGAUGUUAUCAAGAAAUAUAGAUGAUAGUGUUAUUAGUGUGCUUGUUUUUCUAAAUUUGUAUAUUUAUUCAAGAAAUGAGAAGGUUGAUAAGUAUUUAAGUUUCUUGUGUUGCUAAAUUUUUAUAUUGUUUUUAGCAAAGGAAAUUGAGAAGGUUGAUAGUGUUAUUAGUAUUCUUGUUUUGCUACAAUUUUGUUAUUGUUACUCAAGAAAUGAGAAGAUGAUAGUGUUAUUUAGUGAUUCUUGGGGUUUACAAAGGAAACGUUGACGUCUGACCUAUGCUCUCAUUAAAAUUCUCUGGGAAAAAUGAACAGCAUUGCCUAGAGAAGUUUCCAUGCUGCUCUUCAGUCAAAUAAGGGAUAUGGAAGAUUCACAACCAAGCGAGUAUAGCCAUGAGCGCUACUAAUUUCGUUGGAAAUUAUGAUGGCUUCAGAACGCCACACGCUGUCUUCCUUUUUAUCCGUGACGCACAUCUUUAGGACCUUCUAUUCGGGGAGUUAGUGUCUUUGCUUUCUUUUUUCUUAGGCUAUACUUUAUCUGUAGGUAUUGUUCAUUCCAAUAUUAAGCUAGAUUUUGAGAUAGUGUGGUUUAGUGUUCUUGUUUUGCUAAAUUAUAUAUUGUUAUCAAGUAAAUGAGAGAGUGGAUAAGUGUUAUUGGUGGUUUCUUGUUUUGCUAAAUGUGUGGUAUAUUGUAUCAAGAAAUGUAGAAGAUUUGAAGUGUUAUUUGUGUUCUUGUUGUGACUAAAUCUACUAAACAAUUUGUCUUAUUGUUAUCAAGAAGAUGAGAAGAUUGAUAGUGUUAUUAAUGUUGUGAGUUGCUAAAUUUGGCUUUUGUUACUCAAGAAAUCGAGAAAGAUUGAUAGUCGUUAUUAGUGUUCUUGUUGCUAAAUUUUGUAUAUUUUACCCAAAGAAAUGAUGAAGAUUGAUAGUUGUUAUUAGUGGUUCUUGUUUUGCUAAAUUGGUAUAUUGUUAUCAGAAAUCGAAGAAGGAUUUAUAGUGUUAUUAGUGUUCUUGUUUUGCGUUAAAUUGUAUAUUAUUAUCAAGAAAUGAGAAGGUUGAUAGUCGGGUAGUUAGUGUCUCUCUCGUUUUGCUAAAUUUUGUUAUGUUAUCAAGGAAAUGAGAAGAUUGAUAGUGUUAUUAGUGUUCUUUUAUUAUUUCAAGAAACGUUUCGAAGCUGACCCUUGAUAGCGAAAUCUCUCAAAAGAAAGCAUGCACAUAAAGGACGAAAUUCUCCAAUUGGCUUUGCUAGUCAUCAAAAAGGAAUGGAAGACACAACCAAAGUGGCUAUGUAAGUCAUGACGCACUGUUCGUUUGAAUUUAGUGUAUGGCUUCACAAGGCCACACCCCGAACGCUUCCUGAUAUUGCGGUACGGCCACAUCUUUAGGACUCUAUUACGUCGAGUUAUUUCUUUGCUUCUUUGGUUUCUUAGCAGACUAACUACUGAUCUAUUGUUAUCAAGAAAUGAGAAAAAGAUAUGAUAGUGUUAGUAGUGUCAAUGUGUUUCGCUAAAUUUUGUAUAUUGUUAUCAGAAAUGAGAAGGAGUUUCUAGUGUUCAUCUAAGCUGUUCUUGUUUUUUCUGUAAUUAGUUAUAUUGUGUAUCAAGAAAUGAGACGAUUGAUUAGUUGAUUACCGUGUUCUUAUUAUUGCCUAAAUUUUGUAUAUUGUUUCAAGAACAUAGAAGAUUGAUAAUUUAUAGUGUUUUCUCUGUUUGCUAAUUUGUAUACGUAUAUUCAAUGAAUAGGAAGGAUUGAUAGUGUUAUUAGUGUUCUUGUUUGCUAAACUUUCGUGUAUAUUGUAUAUCCAAGCAAAUGAGAAUGAUUAUAGUUGUUAUUAGUGUUCUUGUUUUGCGCUAAAUUUGUAUAUGUUAUCAAGAAAUGAGAAGAUUGAUAUGUGUUAUUAUGUUGUUCUUGUUUUGCUAAAUUACUGUAUAUUGUAUCAAAAAAUGAGAAGAUUUGAUAGCUAGUUAUUGUGUUCUUUCUCGUGUUUUGCUAAAUUUGUAUAUAUGUUAUCAAGAAAUAGGAAGUUGAUAGUGUUAUUAGCUGUUCUUGGUUUUUAUAAAUUAUUGUAUAUUUAUGUAAGAAAUGAGAAGAUUGAUAUGUUAUUAGUGUUCUUGUCUUUUUUGCUAAAUUUGAUAUUGUAUCAAGAAAUGGAGAACUGAUUGAUAGUGUUUAGUGUUUAGUCAUUGUUUUGCUAAUAUGUAUACUUUGUAUCAAGAAAUGAGAGAUUGAUAGUUGAUAGGUGUUCUUGUUUUAGCUAAUAUUGUAUAUUGUUAUCAAGAAAUGAGAAGCAUUGAUAGUGUUAUUAGUGUUCUUGCUUUUGCCUAAAUUGUAUAUUGUUAUCAAGAAAUGAGAAGAUGGAUGAUAGUGUUAUUAGUGUUCUAUUUUUUGCUAAAUUUUCGCUAUAUUGAUUAUCAAGAAAUGAGAAGAUUGAUAGUGAUUUAGUGUUCUUCUUUUGCUAAAUUUUGUUAUAUUGUUUAUUAUCAAAAAGUGAGAAGAGUGAUAGAUUAGUUGUCGUUCUUGUUUUGCUUAAUUGGUAUAUUGUUAUCAAGAAAUAGAGAAGAUUGAUUAGUGUUAUUAGUGGUUUCUUGUUUUGCUAAAUUUGUAUAUUGUGUAUCAAGAAAUUGAGAGAUUGAUAGUGUAUUAGUGUUCUGUUUUGCUAAAUUUGCGUAUAUUGUUAGCAAGAAGUGAGCAAGGAUUUACUAGUGUUAUUAGGUUUCUUGUUAUUGCUAAAUUUUUGUAUAAUUAUUAAUCAAGAGAAUCGAGAAGGUUGAUAGUGGAUUAGUGCUUUCUUUUUUGCCUUAAAUUUUGUAUAUGCUUAUCUUAAUGAGAAUGAGAAGAUUGAGUGUGAUAAGUGAUUUCUAUGUUUUGCUAAUAUUUCCGUAAUAUUUUUAUCAAGAAAUGUAGAAGAUUUGAUAGUUGUAUAGAUGCCUUCUGUGUGUGCUCUAAAUUUGUAUAUUGUUACAAGAGAGAGAACAAGAUUGAUAGUGUUAUGGUGGGGUAGUGUUCUUGUUUGCUAUAAUUUGGCUAUAUUGUUAUCAAGAAAUAGAAAUUUAGAGGUAUUAGUGUUCUCGUUUUUGCAAAUUUUGUAUAUUAUUAUCAGAAUGAGAAGGUUGAUAGUGUUAUUAGUGUUCGUGUUUUGCUAAAUUUUGUUAUUGUUAUCAAGAAAUGAGAGAAUUGAUAGUGUUAUUAGUGUGCUAUAUCAAGAAACGUUUGACGACUGACCCUUUAGCAAAAAUCUGCUCAAAAAGUUGAAAGGCCCAUUGAUAGGGAAUUCUCCAGUGGCAUUCUAUCACCCCAAAUCAAGGAUAUGAAGCAUCAAAGCAGAACCAAGUCUUAUGUAAGCUAUGACGCACUGUUCGUUUGAAAUUUAUUGAUGGUCUUCAAAGGCCACACAGACUGCUUCCUAUAUUCGUAGCACAUCUUUAGGACACCUCCUAUACGUGGAGUUAUUUUCUUUGUUCUUUUUUCUCCUUUAGCAUACUAAUAUGUAACGGUUAGCAAAGAAUAGAGAAAGAAUUGAUAGUGUUAUUAGUGUUCUUUCUGCCCUAAUUGUAAUGUGUUAGUCAGAAAUGAGAAGAUUGUAGUGUUAUAGUUGUUCUCUCUUGCUAAAUUGGUAUAUUUUAUCAGAAAUGAGAAGAUUUAUAGUGUAUCUCCUGCUCUUGUUGUGCUAAUUCUCGUAUAUUAUUAUCAUAGUAAAUGAGGAAGCGUUGAUAGUGUAUUAGUCGUUCUUGUUAUGGCAUAAAAUAUUUAUUCUCUUGUAUAUUGUAGUUCAAGAAAAUGAGAGAUUGAGUGGUUAAUAAUUGUUCUUGUUAUUGCUAAAUUUGGAUAUUGUUUCAAGAAAUGAGAAGAUUGAUAGUCGUUAUUAGUGUUCUUGUUUUGCUAAAUUUUGUAUAUUGUUUACCCAGAAGAGAGAGCAUGUUGAUAGUGUUAUUAGUGUGCCUUUGCUAUUGUAUAUUGGUAUCAAGAAAUGAGAAGAUUGUUAUAGUGUUAUUAGUGUUUCGUUUUUGCUAAAUUUGUAUGAUUAUUUAUCAAGAAAUGAGAGGUUAUGUAGUUUAUUAGAUGUUCUUGUUUUGCAAAUUUGUAUAUUGUAUCAAGAACAUGAGAAGGAUGGGAUAGUGUUAUUUAAGUGUUCUGAUUAUCAAGAAAACGUUUGACGCUUGACCCUUAGCAAAAUCCUCAAAAUAUGAAAGGCAUUUGGCCAGUCGGAAUCUCAUGGCUUCUAUUCAGUCAAAUAAGGAAUAUGGAAGAUUCAGCACACCUAAGUCUUGUCCAAGUCAUGAACGCACUGUGUCGUGUUGAAGUGAGGAGAUGGCUUCAGAAGCGCCACACACUGCUUCCUAUGAUUCGUACGCACAUCUGUGGACUCUAUUGGUACGUGAGUUAUUUCUUUGCUUCUUUUUUCUAGCAUACUAAUAUGUAUAUGUUUAUCAAGAAUGAGAAGAUGAUCAGUUGUUAUUAGUGUUCUUGUUUGCUAAAUUUUUGUAUAUUAGGUUAUCAAGAAAUGAGAAAGAUGAUAUGUAAAGAUGUUCUUGCUUUGCUAAGUUUUGUAUUUUUAUCAAGAAUGAAGACGAUUGAUAGUUGUGAUUAGUGUUCUUAUUUUGCCUCAACAUUUCGCUCCUCCUUGUUAACAGAAAAGGAUGAUUGAUGAGAUGUUAGAGUGUUCCUUGUUUUGCCUAAAUUUUGUAUAUCGUAUCAAUAAAUGAGGAAGAUUGAUAGUGUUUUAUUAGUGUUCUUGUUUGUGUAAAUUUUGUAUAUUGAUAUCAAAGAAAAUGGAGAAGAUGAUAGUGGUUAUUAGUUUCUUGUUUUGCCCUUAAUUUUGUAUAUUGUUAUCAAGAAAAUGAGAAGAAUUGAUAGUGUUAUUUGUGUUCUUGUUUUGCUAAAUUUUUAGUAUAUUGUUAUCAAAAAAUCAGAAGAUGAUAGUCGUUAUUAUGUUCUUGUUUGCUAAAUUUUGUAUAUUGUUAUCAAAGAAAAUAGAAGGUUGAUAUUAUUAGUUUUCUGUUUUGUUUAAUUUUGUAUAUUGUUUAUCAAGAAAUGAGAAGAUAAGAUUGAUAGUGUUAUUUGUGUUCUUGUUUUGCUAAAUUUUGUAUAUUGUUAUCAAGAAAUGAGAAGAUUAAUGGUGUUAUUAGUGUUCUUGUUUUGCUAAAUUUUAUAUAUUGUUAUCAAGAAAUAGGAAGUUUGAAAGUGUUAAUAGUUUUCUUGUUUUGCUAAAUAUUGUAUAUUGUUAUCAAGAAAUGAGAAGAUUGAUAGUGUUAUUAGUGUUCUUGUUUUGCUAAAUUAUGUAUAUUGUUAUCAAGAAAUGAGAAUAUUGAUAUUGUUAUUAGUGUUCUUGUUUUGAUAUAUUUUGUAUAUUGUUAUAAAGAAAUGAGAAGAUUGAUAGUGUUAUUAGUGUUCUUGUUUUGCUAAAUUUGGUAUAUUGUUAUCAAGAAAUGAGAAGAUUGGUAGUGUUAUUAGUGUUCUUGUUUUGCUAAAUUUUGUUUAUUGUUAUCAAAAAAUGAGAAGAUUGAUAGUGUUAUUAGUGUUCUUGUUUUGCUAAUAUUUGUAUAUUGUUGUCAAGAAAUUAGAAGAUUGAUAGUGUUAUUAGUGUUCUUGUUUUGCUAAAUUUUGUAUAUUGUUAUCAAGAAAUGAGAAGAUUGAUAGUGUUAUUAGUGUUCUUGUUUUUCUAAAUNNNNNNNNNNNNNNNNNNNNNNNNNNNNNNNNNNNNNNNNNNNNNNNNNNNNNNNNNNNNNNNNNNNNNNNNNNNNNNNNNNNNNNNNNNNNNNNNNNNNNNNNNNNNNNNNNNNNNNNNNNNNNNNNNNNNNNNNNNNNNNNNNNNNNNNNNNNNNNNNNNNNNNNNNNNNNNNNNNNNNNNNNNNNNNNNNNNNNNNNNNNNNNNNNNNNNNNNNNNNNNNNNNNNNNNNNNNNNNNNNNNNNNNNNNNNNNNNNNNNNNNNNNNNNNNNNNNNNNNNNNNNNNNNNNNNNNNNNNNNNNNNNNNNNNNNNNNNNNNNNNNNNNNNNNNNNNNNNNNNNNNNNNNNNNNNNNNNNNNNNNNNNNNNNNNNNNNNNNNNNNNNNNNNNNNNNNNNNNNNNNNNNNNNNNNNNNNNNNNNNNNNNNNNNNNNNNNNNNNNNNNNNNNNNNNNNNNNNNNNNNNNNNNNNNNNNNNNNNNNNNNNNNNNNNNNNNNNNNNNNNNNNNNNNNNNNNNNNNNNNNNNNNNNNNNNNNNNNNNNNNNNNNNNNNNNNNNNNNNNNNNNNNNNNNNNNNNNNNNNNNNNNNNNNNNNUGUUCUUGAGAUUUACCUGUAUAUUGUUAAUGAAGAAAUGAAGAAGAUUGAUUUAGUGUUAUUAGUGUCUUGUUUUGCUAAAUUUUGUAUAUUGUUAUCAAGAAUGAGAAGAUUGAUAGUGUUUAUUAGUGGUUCUUGUUUUGCUAAAUUUUGUAUAUUGUUAUCAAGAAAUGAGAAGAUUGAUAGUGUUUAUUAGUGUUCUUGUUUUGCUAAAUUUUGUAAUUUUGUUAUCAAGAAAAUGAGAAAGGUAGAUGUUAUUAAGUGUCUUGUUUUGGCUAAUUUUGUAUAUUGUUAUCUAAGAAAUGAGAAGAUUGAUAGUGUUAUUAGUGUUCUUGUUUUGCUAAAUUUGUAUAUUGUUAUCAAAGAAAUGAGAAAGAUUGAAUAGUGUUAUUAGUGUUCUUGUUUUGGCUAAUUUUGUAUAUUUGUUAUCAAGAAAUAGAAGAUUGAUAGUGUUAUUAGUGUUCUUUUUGCUAAAUUUUGUAUAUUGUUAUCAAGAAAUGAGAAGAUUGAUAGUGUUAUUAGUGUUCUUGUUUGCUAAAUUUUGUAUAUUGUUAUCAAGAAAUGAGAAAGAUUGAUAGUGUUAUUAGUGUUCUUGUUUUGCUAAAUUUUGUAUAUUGUUAUCAAGAAAUGAGAAGAUUGAUAUGUGUUAUUAGUGUUCUUGUUUUGCUAAAUUUUUGUAUAUUGUUAUCAAGAAAUAGAGAAGAUUGAUAGUGUUAUUAGUGUUCUGUUUUGCUAAAUUUUGUAUAUUGUUAUCAAGAAAUGAGAAGAUUGAUAGUGUUAUUAGUGUUCUUGUUUUGCUAAAUUUUGUAUAUUGUUAUCAAGAAAUUGAGAAAGAUUGAUAGUGUUAUUAGUGUUCUUGUUUUGCUAAUUUUUUGUAUAAAUUGUUAUCAGAGAAAUGAGAAGAUUGAAGUGUUACUAUAGUGUUCUUGUUAUCAAAACAUUAACAGCUGACAAUCCCUUUACCAAAUCUCCCAAAUGAAAGGCAUUGCGCAUGGGAAUUCUCCAUAGCUCUGUUAGUGCAGAAUAUGGGAUAAUGUGGUAUAGAUACACAAACUAGGACGGAUGUAGCCAUGACGCACUGUAUCGUUCGGGAAUUUAUGAUGGCUCUCAAAGGCCACACCGCCGCUGGCUUCCUAUAUCCCGUACGCACAUCUUAGGACGCGGGUAUUACGUGAUUUAUUUUUUUGCUCUUUAACCACUUACCUGUAUACUUGUUAUGAGAAAUGAAAGGAUUUAUAGUGUUAUUAGUGGUUCUGUAAAUUGCGCUAAAUUUGUAAUAAUGUCUAAAGAAAAUGAGAAGAAUCUGAUAGUUUAUUAGUGUUCUUGUUUGCUAAAUUUGGUAUAUGUGUCAGAAAUAAGGAAGAUUGAUAUGUUGUAGUGUUCUGUUUUGCUAAAUUGUAUAGUUAUCACAGAAAUGAGAAAGAUUGAUACUUAUUAUUUCUUUUUUGCCAAAUUGUAUAUUAUAAAAUGAGAAAUGAUGGUAUAUUAUUGUGUUGUUGUUUUGCUAAAUUUUGUACUAUCUAGUUAUCAUGAAAUUAGAGAUUAUAUAGGUCGUUGGAAUUGUAAUUUCUGUCUAUGUUAAUCUUUUGCUAAAUUGUAUAUUGUUAUCAAGAAAUGAAAAUGAUUUUAUUUUUUGUGUUCUAAUUUGGUUAUGGCUGAAAUAAGUGAUAUUAUUGUGUUGUCAAAAAUGAUAUCUGACAAUAAAUGAUAGAUUAAAUGUCUGUGUUUUGCUAAAUUUGUAUACAUGUUAUCCUAAAAAUGAGAACAUGGAUAAGUGUUACAUAGUGUUCUUACGUUUGUUGGAAAUUUGUAUAUUGUUAUCAGAAUGGAAGAAUUGAAUAGUGUUAUUAGUGUUCUUGUUUUGCCUAAUUUUUGUAUAUUUUACAAGAAAUGAGAAAUGAUAGUGUAUUAGUGUUCUUGUGGUUUGCUAAUUUGUCAUAAUGUUAAUCCAGAAAGAGAAAUCUGAUCAUGUAUAUAGUUCUUGUUUGGCUACAAAUUUGUUAUUAUUAUCAAGAAAAGAAUAGUUAUAGUUUCUUUGUUUUGCUAAAUUUGUAAUAUUUUGUCAAGAAAAUAAAAUUGAUAGUUAUUAGUGCUUGUUGCAAACUUUAUAAUUGUUAUCAAGAAUGCAAAAGAUCGGAUAGCUGUUAUAGUUUCUUGUGUUUGCUAAUAUUUGUAUAUUCUUUACAGGAAAUAGAAGAUAGAUAUGGUUAUAGUUCUUGUUUGCUAAAUUGUGCUAUAUGAUUAUCAAGAAAUGAAAAAAACUUGGAUAGUGUUAUAUAUGUUUCUGUUUUUGCUAAAUUUAAGUUAUUGUUACCAAGAAGAGAAGAUUUGAUAGUGUUAUUAGUCGUUCUGUUUUGCUAUUUGUAUGAUGGUUUGCAAGAAAUAGCAAGAUUGGAUAGUGUUAUAGUGUCUUCGUUUGCUAAAUUAGUCAUAUUGUUCAAAGAAAUGAGAAAUUGAAGUAUGUCGGUUCAAAUGUAUUUAUAAGAGAUGUUGUACCUGCUUUUGCUAAAUUGUUGUAUAAUUGUAUCAAUGAAAAAAGAUGAAAUGUUGAUUAGUGUCUCUUGUUUUGCUAAAUAUUGUAUAUUGUUAUCAAGAAAGAAGAGAUUGAUAUGUUGUUAGGUUCUUAGUUUUGCUAAUUUUGUUAUCAUGUUUAUAAAGAAAUGAGAAGAUUGAUAGUUUAUUAAGUGUUCUUGUUCGUAAAUUUGUAAUUUAUUUCAAGAAAUGAGAAAGUGAUAGUGUUAUUAGUGUUCUGUUUGCCUAAAUUUUGUAUAUUGUUAUCAAGUAAAAAUGAGAAGAUUGAUAUUAAUUAGUUUAUUGUUUGCUAAAUUUGUAUAUUGUUAUCAAGAAAUCAGAAGAUGAUUAGUGUUAUUAGUGAUCUUUGUUUCCCUAAAUUUUGUAAUAUCUUAUCAAGAAAUGAGAAAUGAAUGUUUAUAGUGUCUUGUUUGCUAAAUUUUAUAUAUUUUAUCAAGAAAUAGAAGAUGAAGUGUUAAUUAGUGUUCUUGUUUUGCUAAAUUUUGAUUAUAUUUGUCAAGAAAUGAGAAGAUUGAUAAAUGUUAUUAGUGUUCUUGUUUGCUAAAAUUUUGUAUAUUGUUAUCAAGAAAUGAGAAGAUGAUAGUGUAUAUAGUGUUUCUUUUGUUUUGCUAAAUUUUGUAUAUGUAUACAAAAAUUAGAAGAUCGAUAGUGUUAUUAGUGUUCCUUGUUUUGCUAAAUUUUGUAUAUUGUUAUCUCAAAGAAAUGAGAAGAUUGAUAGUGUUAUUAGUGUUCUUGUUUUGCUAAAUUUUGUAUAUUGUUAUCAAGAAAUGAAGAAGAUUGAUAGUGUUAUUAGUGUUCUUGUUUUGCUAAAUUUUGUAUAUUGUUAUCAAGAAAUGAGAAGAUUGAUAUGUUAUUAGUGUUUGUUUUUGCUAAAUUUGUAUAUUGUUAUCAAGAAAUAGAAGAUUGAUAGUGUUAUUAGUGUUCUUGUUUGCUAAAUUUUGUAUAUUGUUAUCAAGAAAUGAAGAGAUUGAUAGUGUUAUUAGUGUUCUUGUUUUGCUAAAAUUUUGUAUAUUGUUAUCAAGAAAUGAGAAGAUUGAUAGUGUUAUUAGUGUUCUUGUUUUGCUAAUUUUGUAUAUUGUUAUCAAAGAAAUGAGAAGAUUGAUAUGUUUUAGUGUCUUCGUUUUGCUAAAUUUUUGUAUAUUGUAUCAAAGAAAUGAGAAGAUUGAUAGUGUUAUUAGUGUUCUUGUUUGCUAAAUUUUGUAUAUUGUUAUCAAGAAAUGAGAAGAUGAUAGUGUUAUUAGUGUUUCUUGUUUUGCUAAAUUUUUGUAUAUUUUUAUCAAGAAAUGAGAGAUUGAUAGUGUUAUUAGUGUUUGUUUUGCUAAUUUGUAUAUUGUUAUCAGAAAUGAGAAGAUUGAUAGUGUUAUUUAGUGUUCUUGUUUUCCUAAAUUUUGUAUAUUUUAUCAAGAAAUGAGAAGAUUGAUAGUGUUAUUAGUGUUCUUGUUUGCUAAAUUUUAUAUUGUUAUCAAGAAAUGAGAAGAUUGAUAGUGUUAUUAGUGUUCUUGUUUUGCUAAAUUUUGUAUAUUGUUUUCAAGAAAUGAGAAGAUUGAUAGUGUUAUUAGUGUUCUUGUUUUGCUAAAUUUUGUAUUAUUGUUAUCAAGAAAAUGAGAGAUGAUAUGUAUUAGUGUUCUUGUUUUGCUAAAUUUGUAUAUUGUUAUCAAAGAAAUGAGAAGAUUGGAUAGUGUUAUUAGUGUUCUUGUUUUGCUAAAUUUUGUAUAUUGUUUCAAGAAAUGAGAAGAUUGAUAGUGUUAUUAGUGUUCUUGUUUUGCUAAAUUUUGUAUAUUGUUAUCAAAGAAAUGAGAAGAUUGAUAGUGUUAUAGUGUUCUUGUUUUGCUAAAUUUUGUAUAUUGUUAUCAAGAAAUGAGAAGAUUGAUAGUGUUAUUAGUGCUUGUUUUGCCUAAAUUUUGUAUAUUGUUAUCAAGAAAUGAGAAGAUUGAUAGUGUUAUUAGUGUUCUUGUUUUGCUAAAUUUUGUAUAUUGUUAUCAGAAAUGAGAAGAUUUGAUAGUGUUAUUAGUGUUCUUGUUUUGCUAAAUUUUAUAUUGUUAUCAAGAAAUGAGAAGAUUGAUAGUGUUAUUAGUGUUCUUGUUUUGCUAAAUUUGUAUAUUGUUAUCAAGAAAUGAGAAGAUUGAUAGUGUUAUUAGUGUUCUUGUUUUGCUAAAUUUUGUAUAUUGUUAUCAAGAAUGAGAAGAUUGAUAGUGUUAUUAGUGUUCUGUUUUGCUAAAUUUUGUAUAUUGUUAUCAAAGAAAUGAGAAGAUUGAUAGUGUUAUUAGUGUUCUUGUUUUGCUAAAAUUUAGUAUAUUGUGUAUCAAUAAGAAUGAGAAGAUUGAUAGUGUUAUGAUGUUCUUGUUUGCUAAAUUUUGUAUAUUGUUAUAGAAAUGAGAAGAUUGAUAGUGUAUUAGUGUUCUUGUUUUGCUAAAUUUUGUAUAUUGUUAUCAAGAAAUGAGAAGGUUGAUAGUGUUAUUAGUGUUCUUGUUUUUGCUAAUUUUGUAUAUUGUUAAUGCAAGAAAUGAGAAGAUUGAUAGUGUUAUUAGUGUUCUUUUGUCUUGAAUAUUUUUAUUUGUUACAAGAAAUUGAGAGAUUGAUAGUGUUUAUUUUGUGUUUCUUGUAUCAAGAAACGUUGGACGCUGACCCUUUAGCAAAUCUCUCAAAAAUGAAAGCUUUGCUAAUUUUGUAUAUUGUUAUCAAGAAAUGAGAAGAUUGAUAGUGUUUUUAGUGUUCUUGUUUUGCUAAAUUUUGUAUAUUGUUAUCAAGAAAUAAGGAGAUUGAUAAUGUUGUUAGUGUUCUUAUUUUGCUAAAUUUUGUAUAUUGUUAUCAAGAAAUGAGAAGAUUGAUAGUGUUAUUAGUGUUCUUGUGUUGCUAAAUUUGUAUAUUGUUAUCAAGAAAUGAGAAGAUUGAUAGUGUUAUUAGUGUUGUUGUUUUGCUAAAUUUUGUAUAUUGUUAUCUAGAAAAUAGAAGAUUGAUAGUGUUAUUACUGUUCUUGUUUUGCUAAUUUUGUAUAUUGUUAUCAAGAAAUGAGAAGAUUGAUAGUGUUAUUAGUGUUCUUGUUUCGCUAAAUUUUGUAUAUUGUUGACCAGAAAUGAGAAGAUUGAUAGUGUUAUUAGUGUUCUUGUUUUGCUAAAUUUUGUAUAUUGUUAUCAAAAAAUGAGAAGAUUGAUAGUGUUACUAGUGUGCUUGUUUUGCUAAAUUUUGUAUAUUGUUAUCAAGAAAUGAGAAGAUUGAUAGUGUUAUUAGUGUUCUUGUUUUACUAAAUUUUGUAUAUUGUUAUCAAGAAAUGAGAAGAUUGAUAGUGUUAUUUAUCACGAAUAUGAGACGGAUUGAUAGUGUUAUUAGUGUUCUUGUUUUGCUAAUUUUGUAUAUUGUUAUAAGAAAUGAGAAGAUUGAUAGUGUAUUAUGUGUUCUUGUUUGGCUAAUUUGUAUAUUGUUAUCAAGAAAUGAAGCGAUUGUAGUGUUAUUAGUGUUCUUGUUUUGCUAAUUUUGUAUAUUUUCAAGAAAUGAGAGAUAUGAUUGAUAUUUUAGGUUAGUGUUUGCUAAGAUUGGUCUAGAGUAUAAUGGAAUUGAUAUUAGUUCUGUUCUUGUUUGCUAAAUUUGUAUAUUGUUAUCAAGAAAUGAGAGAUUGAUAGUGUUAUUAGUGUUCUUGUUUUGCUAAAUUUUGUAUAUUGUUAUCAAGAAAUGAGAAGAUUGAUAGUGUUAUUAGUGUUUGUGUUUGCUAAAUUUUGUAUAUUGUUAUCAAAAAUGAGAAGAUUGAUAGUGUUCUUGUUUUGCUAAAUUUUGUAUAUGUUAUCAAGAAAUGAGAAGAUUGAAGUGUUAUUAGUGUUCUUGUUUUGCUAAAUUUUGUAUAUUGUUAUCAAGAAAUGAGAAGAUUGAUAGUGUUAUUAGUGUUGUUUUUGCUAAAUUUUGUAUAUUGUUAUAAGAAAUGAGAAGAUUGAUAGUUGUUAUAGUGUUCUUGUUUGCUAAAUUUUGUAUUAGUUAUCAAGAAAUGAGAAGAUUGAUAGUGUAUUAGUGUCUUGUUUUGCUAAAUUUGUAUAUUGUUAACAAAUGAGAAGAUGAUAGUGUUAUUAGUGUUCUUGUUUUUUUUUAAAUUUUGUAUAUUGUUAUCAAGAAAUGAGAAGAUUGAUAGUGUUAUUAGUGUUCUUUUUUGCUAAAUUUUGUAUAUUGUUAUAAGAAAUGAGAAGAUUGAUAGUGUAUAGUGUUCUUGUUUGCUAAAUUUGUAUAUUGUUAUCAAGAAAUGAGAAGAUUGAUAGUGUUAUUUAGUGUUCUUGUUUUCUAAAUUUUGUAUAUUGUUAUCAAGAAAUGAGAGAUUGAUAGUGUUAUUAGUGUUUUUGUUUUGCUAAUUUUGUAUAUUGUUAUCAAGAAAUGAGAAGAUGAUAGUGUUAUAGUGUUCUUGUUUUUGCUAAAUUUUGUAUAUUGUUAUCAAAGAAUGAGAGAUUGAUAGUGUUUUUUCGUCUUAUUGUUCAUUUAUAGAGAUGUUAUGAUCGUAGUUAUUUAAUUGGUUCUCUUGUUUUGAAAUUUGUAUAUUGUUAUCAAGAAAUGAGAGAUUUGAUAGUGUUAUUAGUGUUCUUGUUUUGAAAUUUUCUAUAUUGUUAUAAAAAUAAGGAUGAUUUAGUAUAUUCGUGUAUAUGUUUGCUAUUAUAUUGUAUAUUGUUAUCAAGAAAUGGAAGAUUGAUAGUGUUAUUAGUGUUCUUGUUUUUCUAAUUUUUAUAUUGUUAUCAAGAUAAAUAGUAGAUUGAUAGUGUUAUAUAGUGUUCUUGUUUUGCUAAAUUUUUAUAUUGUUAUUAAGAAAUGAGAAAGAUCUGAGUUAUAGUUUCUUGUUCUUUGCUAAAUUUGUAUAUUGUUAUCAAGAAUGAGAGAUUGAUAGUGUAUUAGUGUUCUUGUUUUGCUAAAUUUGUAUAUUGUUAUAAAAUGAGAAGAUUGAUAGUUUUUGUUUGCAAUUGAUGGAUAGUGAAUAUAUUUUUAGUGUCUUAUAUAUUUGUUUUGUAAUUGUUAUCAAGAAAUGAGAAGAUUGAGUGUUAUUAGUGUUCUUGUUUUGCUAAAUUUUGUAUAUUGUUAUUCAAAAAUGAGAAGAUUGAUGUUAUGUUCUUUGUUUUGCUAAAUUUGUAUAUUGUUAUCAAGAAAUGAGAAGAUUGAAGUGUUAUUAGUGUUCUUGUUUUGCUAAAAUUUUGUAUAUUGUUAUCAAGAAAUGAGAAGAUUGAUAGUGUUAUUAGUGUUCUUGUUUGCCCAAAUUUGUGUAUAUUGUUAUUCAAGUAAAAGAGAGAUUGAUAGUUUUAUUAGUGUUCUUGUUUUGCUAAAUUUUGUAUAUUUUAUCAAGAAAUGAGAAGAUGAUAGUGUUAUUAGUGUUCUUGUUUUGCUAAAUUUUGUAUAUUGUUAUCAAGAAAUGAGAGAUGAUUAGUGUUAUUAGUGUUCUUGUUUUGUUUUUAAUUUUGUAUAUUGUUAUCAAGAAAUGAGAAGAUUGAUAGUGUUAUUAGUGUUCUUUUUUGCUAAAUUUGUAUAUUGUUAUUAAGAAAUGAGAAGAUUGAUAGUGUUAUUAGUGUUCUUGUUUUGCAAA